Molecule: ribosomal RNA, 427 nt
Filed under: uncultured bacterium
Lineage: Bacteria
Description: bacterial SSU rRNA
Rfam family: Bacterial small subunit ribosomal RNA
Source: RNAcentral
UCGAGAAUUUUUCUCAAUGGGCGCAAGCCUGAAGGAGCGACGCCGCGUGGGGGAUGAAGGGUUUCGAUCCGUAAACCCCUGUCAUUUGUGAACAAUGGUUAUUAUUUAAAAGAUGAUGACUUGAUAGUAAUGAAAGAGGAAGGGACGGCUAACUCUGUGCCAGCAGCCGCGGUAAUACAGAGGUCCCGAGCGUUGUUCGGAUUCACUGGGCGUAAAGGGUGCGUAGGUGGCUUGAAAAGUUUGAUGUGAAAGCUCAGGGCUUAACCCUGAAAUGGCAUUGAAUACUGUCGGGCUGGAGGUUUGGAGGGGGGACUGGAAUUCUUGGUGUAGCAGUGAAAUGCGUAGAUAUCAAGAGGAACACCAGUGGCGAAGGCGAGUCCCUGGACAACACCUGACACUGAGGCACGAAAGCUAGGGGAGCAAACAG